CCAAGAUCGCUGCCAGUAAAUAGAUGUGGUGGACACACGCUAGGGUGACCCCACCCCAAUACCAACCAGUGAUGCUUCUGAGGAAUCCUCUCCCCCGAGCGUGGGCAGGACCUAUGCUUGUUUUUUGCCAGUGGAAUAUGGCAAAGGUGAUGAGAUGUCACUCCCAUGAUCACAUAUGGCAAAGGUGAAGGGAUUCUGCAGAUGUAACUAAGAUCCUUAAUCAGUUUGACUUUGAGUUAAUCAAAAGGGAGAUUAUCCUGGGUGGGUCUGACCUCAUCAAGUGAGUUCUUUAUAAGAGCAGAGAUGUUUCCCCAGGAUCAGAGACUUCAAGCAGCAGAGAUUCCCUCUUUCCUGCUGGUCUUGAAGAAACAAGUUCUACAGUCACAAGGAGAUGAAUUCCACCAAGAACCAUGCGAGCUUAGGAAAGGAUCCCAAGUCUAGACGGGACUGCAGACCUGGACAGCACUUUCACUGCUGCCUUGUGAGACCCUGAGCCAAGGACCCGGCUAAGCCAUGCCCAGACUCCUGGCCCCUGAAAGCUGUGAGAUAACAUACGGGUGGUGUUAAGCCGCCAAGUCUGUGGUAAUUUGUUACACAGAAUGGACAACUAUCACAGAAGAGGAGCAGAGAUUCCCACCCAGUGUGACUCCAGGAACUGUGUGACAAGUGCUGGUUACCAGGUUCUUUUGGACACCAAAGGAGAGAGGUAUUUUACCACACCAACCAGUUUCCAAUCCCCCAACACUAAGUAGGUGUCCUGCAAUUCAAUUCAAUCUGACACUACCCAGAGUUAGUGUCACACUCCCCAGGUGUGAGGGCUCAGUCCCACCGACUGCCUUCACUUCAGAUGCCAGUUGCAAGGAUCAUGUCACCCGUACCUCUGACAGACUGGCUGUGAAUCAGGGGUUCCCAUGACCCCCUGAUAAUUUGUUAAUUUGCUAGACUUGCUCACAGAACUCAGGAAGCCACUUUAUUUACACUUACUAGUUUAUUAUAAAGGAUGCAAAUAAACAGCCAAAUGAAGAUGUAUGCAAGGCCAGGUCUGGGGGAGUCCUGAGUGUAGGAGCCUCUGUCUCUGGUGGAGUUGGGAUGCAACACCCUCCUAGCAUGUGGAUGUUUUUGCCAACUUGGAACUUCCCUAAACCCUGUUGUUUACGGACUUUCAUGGAGGCUUCAUUACAUAGCCAUUAUUGAUUAAGCCAUCGGGCAUUAGUGAUUAAAUCAUCUCCACCCCUUCUUUCUUCCCCGCAGGCUGGGGUGUGAGCUAAAAGUUCCAAACAUCUAAUCAAGGCUUGGUCUUUCUGGGGACAACACCCUGUUCUGAAGCUGCUUAGGAGCCCACUAAGAGUAGCUCAUUAGAAUAAAAGAUGCUUCUAUCGCCUUCAUCACUCAGGAAAUUCCAAGUGUUUUAGGAACCAGGGAGAAAGACCAAAUAUAGAUUUCCUAUUAUACCACACUGGUCUUUACGGCCUUUGAAGAUGAUGACUGGGGCCCAUACCAAUGACUAGGGGACCAGCCAAAGGCCAAUGACUGAGUUGGGACCAAUGCCUGUGUUUCCUCACUUCAGGACUUUUGACUUCUAACCGUGUCCCUGACUCAUUCUGCCACCGCUAAAGUACACAAAGGCAUAAAAGAUAAAAUGGGUUUUUUUUCUCCAGAAAAAAUAAAAUGUUUAAAGGAGAAGUUUAACAUAUAAGAGCCAAGAAAAUGUUGAUUAAAGGUUAGGAGUUUUUAUAUGUCAUAUACAUCAUGACUCUAUAAGUCAAAGAAGUGUGGAAAGUGAAGCUCAGAGACCCUAAGUGACUUCUCCAAGGCUAUUCAGUCAUGGAGGAGGAGCUGGGAUUUCACCCUGGGUCUGACCUCCACCUUCUUCCUCCUCCCUAUAGCACCAAAGAACAAAGGGAGAAUAUUUCAGCCAUCUUCUAGUAUCCAGUGGAUUGGCAGAAUUCUUUUAGGAAGGGAUAUAAUCAGGAAAUUUCCAUCUCCACAGAAAGUAUUACUAAAGAAAAUGCAUGGUAAUUAAAGCAUAAAGGAUUUCACUUAAUCCUAAGGAAGAGCUUUCCAGGGAUAAGGUUAAUUAAACGCUAACGAGAUUUUGUUUUAAAAAAAUCAAAAGCCUCGAAAAUUCUGCUUUCAGAUUUCUGUUUAUGAAACAUCACAGGAAAACAGCAAGAAGAAAGGUUGGGAAUGAUUUUGCAAGCUAGUCAAAACGCUUGCAAGCCCAAGGUUUUCAACUUUGACUAUAAGGCUGAACUGAGUAAAUAAAUUGUAAAGAUCAGUCAGAGCUUUCUGGGAGACUAUAGCAAAUGUUAAUGGCAUUAAAUUUUACGUAUUAAUUUCCAGGUUUGAAAUACAUACUAGCUUUUCUCAUGAUACCGUUCAUAUUUUUAAAAAUUAUCCACAAAGAAAGCAAAUGGACUCAGCUGCAGAUUUCUGCACUCACACAGUGCAUUUCUUUUAUAGGUGGAUGAUUUCAGACCCUCCACUAUCUAUCCCCCAUUGCGGGGCCACAGAAACUCUCCAUCCCCACCACGGCCCCUGCUUUGUACUUGUGCUUUCUUUUUGCUGCUGCAGACCCCUUACUGCCUGAUACCCCACAUUUAGUCCCAGUCCUUUGCUGCAUCAGGAGCAGUCUUGGGAUAAGAGCUUUAGAUGACUUCAUAUGCUGUAAGGAGGGAGCAAGGACAUAAAAAUGGAAGAGGGAAAUCUCAGAUUCCACAUAUUUCUGUACCCUCCCUUGCCCCCUCUCUCCAGACCUGGUCCAGGAUCCUCCAACCCCACAUCUGCUUCCCAACCUUUUUCUUACAGCCAGGCUUCCUGCUCUAAGUCUUUUAAUAAAAUGCCCCAAAGAAUGGUGCUUUUCUCUGGAUGUGGCUGAAUUGCAUUCUUAAACCUUGGUGUAUUCCAGAGACCAGCCCUUUCCAUAUGGAGGACCUAACUGAAAGAGGAGAGAAAGGUGGGGGAAGGAAAGACAGCACUUUCUUUAUUGAAAAGUGAGAUCAUGAAUUCCACCCUGGGAUAAAAGUAAUAAGAGGGCUGGGCAAGAGAUGAUCACAAACAGUGUUGAACCCUGGUAAUUUGUGUCAAAUGUCUUUAAAUGACCACAUUAUCUGAUUCAGUCAUUUCACUCCUGGGGAUUAAGUCUAAAUAAACAAUGGGAAGACAAAUAAGAUCUAAACAAAUAGUGAUAUACAAUGUUCAUAGAAGUCUCAAUAUGGUAAAGAUAUGAAAUCAUCCCCAUUUCAUAGAUGAAUAAACUGAGGCAUAGAGAGAUUACAUAAACUGUCUAAGGUGAUAUAGCAAGUAAGAGGUGAAACCAUGAUUCAGAACUAAGCAGUUUGGGCCCAGAGCCCAUGCUCUUAACCACCCUGCUGUCUUGCCCAUCCCCUGUGCUCCCGCUGUUCCACUGCAUUUUCCUCGCUGCGUGUCUAUUUCUUGCACUAGGAAGAGCAGGAACCACAUCUGGUUCACCUUGGAACCUCCAAGUCCCUGGUGUGUAGGGAAGAGUCAAAAUACAUUUACUGAACUCAACAGGAUGGUUUAUUGCCCGACCUCUCUCUCCCAUCAUAAGAACUUCCCGUUUUCAGUUCCUCCCAUUAUCCAAAUGGAUAUGGAGGUCUUGGGCCAGGAACAAAGCUCCGAACAGCUGGAUUUAGAGGAGAUCUCAAGGAAAAUUUCAUUCCUUGACAAAUGGAGGGAAAUCUUUAGUUAUCACAGGUUGGGAACCAAUAAUUCAACUCCUCAGGUAAUUACUUUUCCCAAAGCCAGUGUGUUCUCCUUUAGUUGCUUCUUCAAACAAUCACAUUAACAGCAUAAUCUGCAUUUAUUCUUUGCACAUAAUGUCACUCAGGCACUGGCAUUUAACGCGUGAAAACAUAAAACUAGAAAGCCUGUCGAAGAUUUUUUUCUUGUGCUUUUUUAUGGAUUUCUCUUUCUACUUCUAAGAGCUAUGUUUGUAUCAUUAAGAGCAUCAUAUGGUUAUUAUUUUAGGAAAAAAGGUAAUAUUAAAAUCGAAAGUUCCCACAUUUGUGAAAUAACACUGGAUUCUGACAACCAAGUGCUUCUGUGUCCCUGAAGAAAAGCAGUUUUGAAAAUAGUUAUCGUCUUUAUUCAGCUUGUGAAAAAUCAUUUUCCUUUACCAUUUUAAAAUAAGAGAAAGAUGACUGAAUUCUGGUGCUAAAAAGGUAUUUUAAAAUCUGAUAUACAAUAUAAGAUGAAAGAUGUUUGUACCUCAUGUAAACUGAAAAGGUUAGAAGGUAAUGGACUUUGUAUUUCAGGUAUUACUUCAAUCACUGAGCAAACACAGCAUAAAAUAUUAAGGUGGUUUUCAUGGUACUAGUAUAUAUGAUCAAGCAAUUGAAUCAUUAAUAUUUUAACUAUAAUGCUAAAGCUUCUCGCCCCAAGUAGCCUAUGAUCAAAAGUCUUAUUUAUGCUAAAACUCUCUUAACCACAGUCUAAAUUAGAAUCAGAGCAAUAAUGCUUCUAUUUUAGUCUUGGAAGUAUUAAAUGGAGAUAUCUAUCAUUUGGGGGGAUAGAACAUUCAAAAGAUAAAACAAUCUUUAAAAGAAAAAAAAGUCAAGUUAUGCUUUACACACGGUGGGAAAAACCCAUUGGCACAAAUGUAAAGAUUUUCCAUUUGAUUUACAAAAUGCAUCUUAGCUGAUCAGUAGUCCGUGAUUUGAAUGCUGUGCUUCUGAGAUAAGAAAGAAUCUUUGCCUCUAGGAAUACAGAAAAACUAAGAAGGUGGUUUCCCUCAUGUUUCAGCCACCAAUAGGACAGAUUUGUUGCACAACAUUAGUAUAUAAGCUAAGUAAAUUUGAAGAAGAGCUGAUGCUAACUUACAGUGACAUGUCAUGAGAAUCAGUCAAGAAAAGCGAAAAGAAAUUUUUUUAAAGGUAGACGGUGGAUUUUUUUUAAGGAAAAAGAACGAUUAUACUCACUUGUUGGGGAGUAGGAAUCUGAAAGAAUUAAAAAGAGAUAAUCUGACUUCAUUUAUUGGCCAGUUAACAAUGUAAUGAGAAACACUUUGUGUAAACUGGAAAGAUUCGUUCAAAGUUUAUAAAAUGUUGUCUUCUCAAAACAAGAGACAGUGACAUUUACAUUCUUCUCUAAACAUAAUUUCAAGUCAAGGUCUUGAUGGCAUUAAUUAUGUUUCCAUAGUUACAUUUAACCUCUCCAAGUCAUAUAAACCCUUAUGAGAAACCCCUUUGACACAGACACUGGGAUUUUUCUGCCUCUUUUAUUGCUAUUUAUCACAAUUUUCAGACGUCUUUAAAAGUGAGACAACAUUUUCUGAACACUGGUAUUUCAGAGAGAAAAAGAGAAAAUUUAAAACAAGGUCAUCACCAGCUCUGUUUGCUUUGUCUUUUGUGGGGGUGAUAUUUGCACAGAAUCAUGAAGGCAACCAUACAUCUGCUGAUGAAAAUGAAGAUGGAACAGGACUAUCUCAGCCCAAAGGACAAGGACAUUUGCCAUCAAGUGGCCUUUGUUCUAUUCCCAACCCCUCUAUCAUCUCUUCAAAAUUGGGUGGCUUUCCUAUCUCCCUAGCAAUGGCCACGGUAAGUAUAGCUUGUCAAUUAAACAUGAAAUGAAACGUAAUCUUCCCAAAACAACAAGGCUGGGGAAUCUUAUCUCCUGCCAUGUGAGAGUAUAUUGAAGAUAAGACUACAGAUGGUUGUUAUUGGUAAAAGGAGAAUAUAAUUAAAAUGACUUAUUUAUGGUAUUCUUCAAGGACACUUGUGGCAGUACAGCCCUUUCCUCCCAAACUCUGAGUCUCUCUUUAUUCACUUCUUCAAUUUGACAGUGAAAUUUGAGGGAGUGAGUUACAUUCAAAUAACUCACUAUAGAAGGUAGGAUAGGACAGACUCUCUAAGUGGCAGACUGUGGAGCGCUGCAAAUGCGUAAGACAAUGUAGAUGUGUAAGAAAGUACCCCACCUGUAUGCAUGCAGGAGGGAGAGAGCUGGGGAAACUUGUCAGGCCAUGUCCUGGGCAGGUAGCUAAUCUCAAGAAAGAAACAGUUUUCUGGGGCUACCAAUUAAUAUGCAGAUUUGAAAAGAACAUGACAUUUCAGGAUCCAAAUCACCAGGAUCUGUAAGCUAUUGGUCCCGGGGACCAUUUGCUCAAUUCAAGACUUCACCAGGGUGGGGGCAAGGGGCUGAGGCAGAGAUCCAGCCAGGAGGCAAAACUAAAGGCAUCUCAUUGGGUCAAAUAGGCCAAAGCUGGAGGUAGUGCCUUGGCAAAUGUCCAAAGGACCAGCUGUCAUGGUCAAAAAGAUGCCAUUGGAAACUUGGGAAGCAGAGGCAAGGGUCAAGCCAAGGUAAAAGUACCAGAGAGGCUGAGAUGCCCCUCCCAUUGGAUUGCCCUCCAGUGUAGCCCUUGAAAUCAUAAUGAAACUCGGGACUUCUCAAGACAAUUUCCCCAUCAUCACCCUAUCUUCUAAACCUCCACAUUACAUCCUAGAAGCUCAGGCAGGGACCUCUACUCAGGGCCUUAAGAAUGAGAGUUGGAAGAGGGACCUUCUUCCUGAGGACAUGCUGUCACACAUGGAUGUUUGUAGAAACAACCCAGGACCAGCCUAGGCAUCUGGGCAAAGACCAGCAACACUGGCCCUGCAGUCAGGCCUGCCAUGUACAUCGAGUUGCACAGUUUGUGCACUGCACACAAGAUCCCAGCUGAGAGGAUGAGUGGGGACUAAAACUUCUUCCGGGGAAACCACAUGAAGCCUAACACAGAGUUUCCGUCUGCUUUUUGAGAAUGAAGGCUGGUGACCCUGACUGCGGUAUUUCCAGCUUCGAUAUAACCUUUCCUUAAGCUCCCCGAGACAGGACACAAUCAGAUGCAGGGACCACACAGCCCCUGGAUUCGUUUUUAUCAUACAAAACCUCCCAGGCUUCACCAAAUAACUUUCUCCACCAUCACACUUGCAGUACAGAUGCACUGGGAGGCCUCACUUGCUCUUUCUCGUUGUCGAAAAUCUAUCUGCCUUGGCCGGGCAUGGUGGCUCACAUCUGGAAUCCCAGCACUUUGGGAGGCUGAGGCAGGGGGAUUGCUUCAG
Molecule: long non-coding RNA, 7055 nt
Filed under: Homo sapiens (human)
Lineage: Eukaryota; Metazoa; Chordata; Mammalia; Primates; Hominidae
Description: HSALNT0315362
Source: RNAcentral